ACGGAAAGACCCCGUGAACCUUUACUAUAGCUUGACACUGAACAUUGAGCCUUGAUGUGUAGGAUAGGUGGGAGGCUUAGAAGUGUGGACGCCAGUCUGCAUGGAGCCGACCUUGAAAUACCACCCUUUAAUGUUUGAUGUUCUAACGUUGACCCGUAAUCCGGGUUGCGGACAGUGUCUGGUGGGUAGUUUGACUGGGGCGGUCUCCUCCUAAAGAGUAACGGAGGAGCACGAAGGUUG
RNAcentral lists this ribosomal RNA (240 nucleotides) under Escherichia coli. Its description in RNAcentral is "partial 23S ribosomal RNA". It matches the Rfam family "Bacterial large subunit ribosomal RNA", at positions 2080 to 2319 of the family's 2925-position model. The record is from RNAcentral. Lineage: Bacteria; Pseudomonadati; Pseudomonadota; Gammaproteobacteria; Enterobacterales; Enterobacteriaceae.